AGCAAAACAUAGAUUUUCACUGAUAAAAACAAAAACAAAUCCAAAAAAAUAAAAAAUGAUUUGUUCCUCUAGCUUACACAUGUCCAAUAUUCCUCCUGCAUCAUCUCUUGCUGACUCCGGUUCAGGCACCAGAACUCCGGCAAGCUCUGAAACUUCCUAUGAACCUCAGCCACAGCCGCAGGUUCGAAGGAUUAAAGCUAGCCCUCAGCUAAAUCGUUGGUCCAGAGCUCGAAGCAUCCGGUCCGGACGGAAACUAGACCGGCCGGUUCUCAGUUCCACCACUGAAUUACGUACUAAGUCCGGUUCACCGGUUCGGAGUGAAGAGGAAAUUGAGUUGCCUGUGACUAGUGGAAGCCGGUCCGGUUCAUCUGAGGAUGAAAAGGAAGUUAACGGAGGGAAGUCGAUAUUUAUUGUAUCUGAUGGAACUGGAUGGACUGCUGAACACGCCGUUAAUGCAGCACUAGGACAAUUUGAUUAUUGCUUAGUUGAUCGUGUUUGUGCUGUGAAUACUCACUUGUUCUCCGGGAUUGACGAUGUUGAUCAAUUAAUGGAGAUACUAAAGCAAGCAGCCAAAGAAGGGGCAAUGGUUGUCUAUACUUUAGCUGAGCCUUCCAUGGCUGAAUCUGCCAAACAAGCAUGUCAACACUGGGGUGUAGCAUCUAGUGAUAUACUGGGCCCACUUACAGACGCAAUUGGUGGCCAUCUAGGUGUUUCCCCUUCUGGACUCCCUCGCUGGGCCCCGGAGAGGCAAAAAACUCCUCUCAGCGAGGAAUAUUUCAAAAGGAUUGAAGCAAUUGAAUUUACCAUAAAACAAGAUGAUGGUGCCUUGCCUCGAAACCUGCACAUGGCUGAUAUAGUUCUAACAGGUGUUUCACGAACGGGGAAGACACCGCUGUCCAUUUAUCUAGCACAGAAAGGGUAUAAAGUAGCUAAUGUGCCAAUCGUCAUGAAUUUAGAGUUACCCAAGACUCUCUUUGAAAUUAACCCGGAAAAGGUAUUUGCCUUGACUAUAAAUCCUGUUGUUCUGCAAUCCAUCAGAAGAGCAAGAGCUAAGACUCUGGGUUUUGACGGAGAACUAAAGACCAACUAUUGUGACAUGGAUUACGUGAAACAAGAUUUGGAAUAUGCGGGGAAAAUUUUUGCGCAAAACCCUGUCUGGCCAGUGAUAGAAGUUACAGCUAAAGCUAUUGAAGAAACAGCUGUCAUUGUUCUGAGACUUUACCAUGACAGAAAGAACAGGUGUUCAAUGCCAAGAAUUUCCAAACGCUAUUAAACCGUUGGUCUCAAGCAUUGAUGGAUCAGAUCUCGAGGUUCAACGAGAGACAAUACUUGAAACUAAGCCAAGACAUCUUCUUUGGUCUGGCAAUGCCAGAGCAACAAACGUACAAUGGUUGCAACUUAUGAAUAACAGCUGCAAACAACAAAAGGAAGCAGUUGGCAUAGGAUCGCAAAAGAAACCGAGAUGAGUGAGAGGCAGGAAAUGAAGGAAUGGUGAGAAAUAUAGCAAAAUGGUUGGUUACUCCUUUGUUCUUCAUUAAAAUUUUGUGAAUUUAACUUAUACACAGCGUAUGUCAACUCUCUUAUUUGUGUAUUAAAACCUAUUGUAAU
This is an RNA transcript of Lycium barbarum (goji berry), 1608 nucleotides long. It is a transcript of the gene named pyruvate, phosphate dikinase regulatory protein 1, chloroplastic-like, with no coding region annotated. The record is from RefSeq and is a predicted model, not a curated record. Lineage: Eukaryota; Viridiplantae; Streptophyta; Magnoliopsida; Solanales; Solanaceae. The transcript is spliced from 5 exons.